RNAcentral lists this ribosomal RNA (252 nucleotides) under uncultured bacterium. RNAcentral's name for it is "partial 16S ribosomal RNA". It matches the Rfam family "Bacterial small subunit ribosomal RNA", at positions 524 to 776 of the family's 1533-position model. The record is from RNAcentral.
UACGUAGGUGGCAAGCGUUAUCCGGAAUUACUGGGCGUAAAGGGUGCGUAGGUGGUUUCUUAAGUCAGAGGUGAAAGGCUACGGCUCAACCGUAGUAAGCCUUUGAAACUGGGAAACUUGAGUGCAGGAGAGGAGAGUGGAAUUCCAAGUGUAGCGGUGAAAUGCGUAGAUAUUAGGAGGAACACCAGUUGCGAAGGCGGCUCUCUGGACUGUAACUGACACUGAGGCACGAAAGCGUGGGGAGCAAACAGG